UAGUGGCCCGGCUGCGCGGCUCAGCCCAU
This 29-nucleotide small RNA is filed under the name Bombyx mori (domestic silkworm). RNAcentral's name for it is "ovarian small RNA-23066". Lineage: Eukaryota; Metazoa; Arthropoda; Insecta; Lepidoptera; Bombycidae. The record is from RNAcentral.